Molecule: ribosomal RNA, 478 nt
Filed under: uncultured bacterium
Lineage: Bacteria
Description: partial 16S ribosomal RNA
Rfam family: Bacterial small subunit ribosomal RNA
Source: RNAcentral
GAUGAACGCUAGCGGCAGGCCUAACACAUGCAAGUCGAGGGAGAAGCCCUUUCGGGGGCAGAAACCGGCGCACGGGUGCGUAACGCGUAUGCAACCUACCUUUCACAGGGGGAUAGCCCGAAGAAAUUUGGAUUAAUACCCCAUAAUAUUAUUGGAUGGCAUCAUUUGAUAAUUAAAACUGCGGUGGUGAAAGAUGGGCAUGCGUCCUAUUAGCUAGUUGGAGUGGUAACGGCACCCCAAGGCUACGAUAGGUAGGGGUCCUGAGAGGGAGAUCCCCCACACUGGUACUGAGACAGGGACCAGACUCUUACGGGAGGCAGCAGUGAGGAAUAUUGGUCAAUGGUCGGAAGACUGAACCAGCCAUGCCGCGUGCAGGAAGAAUGCCUUAUGGGUUGUAAACUGCUUUUAUAUGGGAAGAAUAAGGCGUACGUGUACGUUGAUGACGGUACCAUAUGAAUAAGCAUCGGCUAACUCCGUG